Molecule: transfer RNA, 71 nt
Filed under: bacterium
Lineage: Bacteria
Description: tRNA-Gln
Rfam family: tRNA
About the family: Transfer RNA (tRNA) molecules are approximately 80 nucleotides in length. Their secondary structure includes four short double-helical elements and three loops (D, anti-codon, and T loops).
Source: RNAcentral
UGCCAGGUCGUCUAGUGGUAGGACACAUGCCUCUGGAGCAUGGUACCUAGGUUCGAAUCCUAGCCUGGCAG